RNAcentral lists this ribosomal RNA (1185 nucleotides) under Bacillus sp. SJ 603. RNAcentral describes it as "bacterial SSU rRNA". The stretch from base 201 to 1185 matches the Rfam family "Bacterial small subunit ribosomal RNA", at positions 1 to 1269 of the family's 1533-position model. The record is from RNAcentral. Lineage: Bacteria; Bacillati; Bacillota; Bacilli; Caryophanales; Bacillaceae.
UUCCCUUAUGGUGAGUGUGAGAUUGACCGGACUGUUGACACUUGCUGCUGCUCUGCCUCCGUCAACGCGGAGAUAACCUUUUGUUUUUACUAUGGAUGUAAUCAUUUUAUUGGCUUUACUUUCUACUUGACGCUCCAUAAUACGAUCCAUCAUAUGAUUAACCGUGACAUUCGUCCCGCGUUACUUGAGCCAAUAUGCAGCUUUUGGUGGGUCUGUAUACUCAUGAUUACCACAUUAUUUUUCUUGACGGUACAGUCUUCGGGUAGUUACGUUUCGGGUCGUAAAACUCUGUUGUUAGGGAAGAACAAGUGCUAGUUGAAUAAGCUGGCACCUUGACGGUACCUAACCAGAAAGCCACGGCUAACUACGUGCCAGCAGCCGCGGUAAUACGUAGGUGGCAAGCGUUAUCCGGAAUUAUUGGGCGUAAAGCGCGCGCAGGUGGUUUCUUAAGUCUGAUGUGAAAGCCCACGGCUCAACCGUGGAGGGUCAUUGGAAACUGGGAGACUUGAGUGCAGAAGAGGAAAGUGGAAUUCCAUGUGUAGCGGUGAAAUGCGUAGAGAUAUGGAGGAACACCAGUGGCGAAGGCGACUUUCUGGUCUGUAACUGACACUGAGGCGCGAAAGCGUGGGGAGCAAACAGGAUUAGAUACCCUGGUAGUCCACGCCGUAAACGAUGAGUGCUAAGUGUUAGAGGGUUUCCGCCCUUUAGUGCUGAAGUUAACGCAUUAAGCACUCCGCCUGGGGAGUACGGGCCGCAAGGCUGAAACUCAAAGGAAUUGACGGGGGCCCGCACAAGCGGUGGAGCAUGUGGUUUAAUUCGGAAGCAACGGCGAGGAAUCUUUACCAGGUCUUGACAUCCUUCUGAACAACCCUAGAAGAUAGGGGCUUCCUCUUCGGAAGCAGAGGUGACCAGGUGGGUGCAUGGGUUGUCGUCCAGCUCCGUGGUCCUGAGAAUGUUGGGUUAAGGUCCCGCAAAGCGAGGGCGCAACCCCUGGAUUCUUUAGUUGCCAUUCAUUUUAUGUUUGGCUACUUCCUAAGGGGUGACUGGCCGGGUGAACAAACCGUGAGGGAAGGGUGGGGUAUAUACAUUCUAAAUCCUUAUUGUCCCCUUAUUAGACCUGGGGGGUUCACCCCACGGGUCUAACAUGUGGAAGAAAACAAGGAGGAGUGAACAUGGUCUUCCUCG